Molecule: ribosomal RNA, 253 nt
Filed under: uncultured bacterium
Lineage: Bacteria
Description: partial 16S ribosomal RNA
Rfam family: Bacterial small subunit ribosomal RNA
Source: RNAcentral
UACGUAGGGGGCAAGCGUUGUCCGGAUUUAUUGGGCGUAAAGAGCGUGUAGGCGGCCAGGUAGGUCUGCUGUGAAAACUCGAGGCUUAACCUCGAGCUGUCGGCGGAAACCAUCUGGCUAGAGUCCGGAAGAGGAGAAUGGAAUUCCCGGUGUAGCGGUGAAAUGCGCAGUUAUCGGGAAGAACACCCGUGGCGAAGGCGGUUCUCUGGGACGGUACUGACGCUGAGACGCGAAAGCGUGGGGAGCGAACAGG